UUCACCUGACCCAGCUCUCCGGCCUCCGUGACUCCACAAACGAAAAGGAAAAAACUCUCUGGCCUCCGGCGACUUCGCCCAGCCAUCUCCCCGGCGAUCCCGGCGGCGGCCACUGAAGGCUUCAUCCCCCUCUCCCGAUUCGAUCGAUUGCGGAGCCUAGCUGAGGUGGGAAGGAAGAUCGAUGGAUGCUCCGGAGGUGGUUCCCCAACGUGUCCAUCCCAAGAAGAAACCAUGUGUGGAUGGCAAUCAACAGCAGCAUUCCCAAUCCCAGACAUCCAUGGGCCAGUGUCACACGAUAUCCGAGGUGCUUAACGACGACAACCUCCUCAUCGAGAUCCUCAUCCGUGUGGGCUUCCCUACCACCCUCGUCCGCGCCGCCCUCGUCUGCAAGCGCUGGUACCACCACGCCUCAGACCGCGGGUUCCUCUGUCGUUUCCGCAAGCGCAACCCACCCCGCCUCCUUGGCUUAUACAUCGACGUAAGGUGGACCUGGUUGGGGUUGUACGCUACUCCGCGCUUUGUCCCAAUGCAGCCCCAGGCCCCGGAGCUUGACACCGUUGUCCGCCGCGUGGCGAGCCAUAGCUUCGACGCCUACGGUGACGGAAUAUGGAUCAUGCACUGCCAGAAUGGUAGCAUCUUCACCAGAUACCGCAAAGGAACAGAAGUGACACAUGGAGUUUACCGCCCAUUGUGCCCUGAGAGAGACAUGGACUUCAUUCCACCACUCCCAACCGCCCAGAACCACAUGCAAAAACUUCUUGGUGCAAUCCUCUCCAAAGAAGAAGGUGAUGGGCUGUCCUACCUGUAUGUGUUGGCGGAGUGUACCACGCAAACAAAAACUUUCAAGGUGCGUGUGUAUAUGUUGCAAGGCGGCGUCUGGUGCAUGCAUACCUCGGCCACAACACAACUCCCUCAUAUGCUGCCUGCACUGAAAGCAGUGCUUGUUGACGAUAAAAUUUAUAUGGCUGACGUCUUCAGUAAUGACAUUAUUGUCUUGGAUUUGGCGACCUCGAGUUUUUCCAGAAUUCUGCUCCCACAAGGAGUGAAGUAUCACACUCUUCACACCAUCUUGUCUCGGGCUGAUGAUGCUUCCGGUCUAUAUCUCAUCCAUGUCCAUGUCAAGGAGCAUCAACUUUGCAUCUGGCUCCACAAGGGGGACAACUGGUUGCUGGUCGAUACCCUUUGUUUGCAUCAGAUGUGGGCUAAUUUGAGGAUGCAAGAUCACACGCUCGAGGACGAGGAUAUUAGUUACGCCUAUAUAAGCCAGGUGGGAGAUAAUGUUCAGUUUGUGUUCUUGAAGACAAUGUGUGGACGCAUACUCUAUCUGGACGUCACUAGCAGGACACUACAUAAAGUGCAUGGGAUGACAGAAAAGGAUCGACAUUUCAGUGCUAUCUAUCCUUUUAUGAUGAUUUGGCCGCCCAUAUUCCCUGCGCUCAAGGAUGAUCAAGCAAGGCAGGGGAGUUGGGUGGAAAUGGGUCAACCUGAAACUGUAAGCACAUGAGAUCUUCUAGUGUACAAUGUUGGUUGAGCAGGGACGCCAUGUGAAGAAAAAGGGAUACCCGGAAGGUCUUUAGAUCACAGUACAGUGUGCACAAACUUUGUUUUCAGUCAGUCACAAGUUUAUUGGGUACUGGAUAAGGAUGUUAUGUAUAUGUGUAACUGGAUCAGUUGCUGCUCUGCCCUGUUUGUAAGAAUCCUUAUGAUAUUUUGCAUCUGGCAACUCAGUAUGCGUGAUGGAUUGCGCUAAAUACAAGAUCCUUCUCCAUCUGAGGAGCUUCUAUUAAGCUGAUGCGUUGCCUCGAGUCUUGGUGCACACUAACUGAUGAAGCUCAACCCUAUCUCAAACUGAGCUAUUUCUGCUUUUUCUAACAAAAAGUUCGAGCAGUGAAUUGAAAAAGGGUCAAGCUUGCACCUGCUUGAAGCUUUUUUCAUUCUUCAUUCUGAGGAAUGCAAGAGCAAGAUCCGCAAAGGAGAACUUUGCCUACUUGAGAAUUUUCUCUUCCUAAGGAAAUUAUCUCAUUAAGGUUCGUUCUAGGAAUUACACAAAAUAGCCCUCUUCAACUUUGGAGUUCAUUCGAUCCCCUCUCGAUCUCCUGUGCCUCCCCGGUCAGGUGACGGUCCCCCAAGCGCUCUUCUUCCUUCCGGCGACGAUGGUCGUCCUUGUCCUGUCCCCGAGCCGAGCUCAUCCCCGCCUCAGAGCUCCUGUCCCCUCCAGUUAUCUUCCUCCCUGACCAAGGUUAGCCUCUGCCACAGUUCCCAAAAAAAAAGGUUAGCCUCUGCCUCCUCUCCACCCUGACGAGAUAAGCUUGCUGCUCCAGAUCCAAGAUGGAUUGCUUACUGCACAAUGUCACCUUGUUAGUGGCCAAGACAGGCUGACUGUUCCCUCUGUGCCAUGUUUCCUUUUGAGCAAGCUAAGUUAGGCAUCACAGUACUUACUAAUGCUUGCUACUAGUAUAUGACAUGAACAAGCCUUGCAUGGUGACGAUAGCCUUUGAUACAUUUUGCUUCUCUCAAUAACUUCUAUGAGCAAUGCCAGCCCUGAUUGCCCUGUUACCUGCUUCUGUCUACGAAUCUUACAUGCUGAUCUUGUCUGAAAACAAUCACAAUCUGAUAGCUUCUGUAACCAGCUAUGUAAGAAACUUGUGUUGCAAUUUAAGGGCAAGUUCAAUCAAUACUUGUACAGUCCAUCUUGCAAUUUAGAAUGUGUUCAUUACAUAUGUACGAUGCAGGAUGAUAUGUCUUCAUUCAAAUAUCCUGAGCCCAGGAUAAUGUACCUAUCUACAUAGUCUUACAUUUAACGGGGUAGCUUUAGCAAAUGAUGAUAUGACUUUUGGUCUGGUUGCAGUAAUGUCGUCGUAUUUUAUAUCUUUCAAAAGAUGACGUUGCCUUGCUAUGAUUAAUCAUGUGGACGGGAUAAAUAGUCCAUUAUUUCAGUUAUGAUAAUGAUCUGGCGACUGGUGUCUGGUGGCACAUAAACUUUUUAACUGACUGAGUUGGUGUAUUCAUACACAGAUAGAUGGGCUUGUGGAUGCUGCUGGAGGUUUUUUUGCUUGUCACAAAUUCAUUGGCAUACUGAAUGAAGACCGGUUCCUUGGUCCCAGGGGAUGGAGCAUGUCUGAAGUUCUCGCGGGUGCCUUUUGAUAGCACUCGAUGUUCUUGUCAUUUUUCGUGAACUUGGCGUCAGGCAGAGGGUCGUUGUCCGCUGUUGUUGGGGUUGAACUGAUUUCAGUCCCAGCAUUAUUAGGUAAAACCUAAUCAUGUUCAAAAGUUGCCACAAGGAUGUUCGCGCUGACUUGAAUGUAGCUUGUUGGUGUUGUCGCUGUAAAUUAGUUCUGGACACCCUGUGAGGGUAUCUUA
Triticum aestivum (bread wheat) is the source of this 3360-nucleotide RNA transcript. RefSeq lists it as uncharacterized. NCBI's taxonomy places the organism in Eukaryota, Viridiplantae, Streptophyta, Magnoliopsida, Poales, Poaceae. The transcript has 7 exons. The record is from RefSeq and is a predicted model, not a curated record.